UCUAAUCUUAUCUAAUCUAAUCAGACCCUAGCGCAGCCAAUCUUUCGAAGGGAUCCUGGAGAGUGCCUUAGGUUAGAUGACGCCUAGCACUCUUCUUGUCAUUUAUUAACAUUUGUAGUGCACCAUUGCAUCGGAAUGCACUGAAACAUCACAAGCGUUAAAGCGGCCAGGCCUACUGCGUAAAGCCGUAUCGCAGAGAUGACUCGUAAUUGGGUUGAGUUUGAGCACUGAGUGUUCGAACAACAACACAAUUCUGAAUCGACAGGGGGAGGAAGAAGCGUGGGGACACACCACCAUACGCUCCGAGAUUUUGGUUGUAUUCGUUGGAAGCACCAUGCUAAGAAGGUUUGGUACUCCGGGACCCUCUGGGAUGGGACAUUGUAUUUCCACGAAUGCCCUGGACACUAUUUGCCGUGGUUAUAGCGCCACAACUCGCUCUAGAAAGAAUUGUAAACGAACCGUCUAACAAAAACUCGUUGCAAUAAUGACAAACUUAUAAUACAUUUUUUAAGGGUUUUUAAAUUACUUUCGAAGAUAGAAGAGGUUCAAUAAAUUAUAGAUUUUAUCAGUAAAUAAUUUAAGCAGAAAUUGCAAAAAAUAUAAUUUGAAUUGGUAUUUCAAAGAACCUCCAAUAAGUUUUUAAGUUGGAUGAUUUGGUAACCCUUUCAUGAGAUAUCAGUACUAAAGUGAAAAUGAUGAAAUGGGUAAAGGUAAGAUGUUGUAGAAAUAUGAAAUUUGAAGAAAAAAGCAGUUGACAUAUUCCGGCGUUGCAAUAUCACAAUUUUUUUCGAGAUAUUUCUCUUAUGAUAUCAAAACUGUAGGGUUUAUGGGUUGCAGGAUUGAAUAUGUAAUAAAUUAUUAAAUGAGUAUUUAAUAUAAGAUUGAUAUAAUUCAUAAAUAACAGCUUAGAGCGCAACAAAAAGUGCGCACCUUCAUGAAUAUUGCCUUGUUAGCUGACAUAUUGCGUAUUGAGUGCGAGAGCGCGCUAGCGAGCUGUGAGAGAGAACAACGAGCGAGAAAACAACGAGAUGCGUGCGGCAGUUUUGUGGUUAAUUUGUGUGGAAUAAGACGUGUUAUUUGUUAAUUGCAAAAUAUCUAUGUUUUUAUUAUAAAAGAAAGUCCCCGAUCACGACAAAAACCUGUCCCAAACUUAAAUACUAUUACAGAAUCGGAUUAGAAACUGAAUUUUCUACAAGUAGUGACUAUGGAUAACUAAUUUUAAGUCAUACAAAUUAAUAAGUCAUGUUUAAGUUAUUUUAAACAUUUCUAAUUGUUAAUCCAGCUUUAACCUAUUAGCCAAAACGUGUCGUUUUUGUCGCUGGAGAAUGUGUCAUUCAUAUAUCUCAAUGAAACAGAACAGAAGAUAACAAAAAAACAGCAGAAAAUCACAAAAGUCAACAGAAAAAAAUAAAAGUCAACAGAAGACAACAAAAGUCAACAGAAGACAAAAAAAUACCACAGAACACUUUCAAAGAUAUCAGAUGUCAACAGAAAAAGAAAAAAGUCAACAGUUGACAGAAGACAACAAAACUCAACAGAAGACAACAGAAGUCAACGGAACUCAACAAAAGUCAACGGAAGACUACAAUAGACAUCAACAGAGAACAAAAGUCAACAGAAAACAACAAAAGUCAACAGAUGACAGAAAAAAAAACAAAAAGAGAACUUUGAAACAUUUCAGAUGUCAACAGAAGACUAAAAAAGGCAGAAAUCAACAGAAGACUACGAAAUAUAUCAGAAGUCAACAGAAGACAACAAAAGUAAACAGAAGACAAGACACCAAAAGACAAAAAAAAAAAUCAACAGAAGGCAAAAAAAUUACAGAAUAUUAAAAAAGACAUCAGAAGUCAACAAAAGCCAACAGAGUUAAAAAGCAAUUGAUUUAUGAUUCAUCUACGAAUGUUGUAAUUGUAAUUUCAUUGAAACUAUAUCCUGAUAAUUAACACUGUAUAUCAGGACAAGGAGGAAAUUUGCGGUUCUCUGCCACGCGGAACGAAAGCGAAAUUGACUUCAUUGAAAAAACGUUGAAAACCUGAUUCCCUCCUUCUUCGAUCACCCGGAGAAGGCCGGUUUUCAAAGUCUACUACGCUGGACCCAGGAGGUCAGACGGUGGAGGCCUGAAGAAAGGGCAUCCAAGUUACGUACGGACAACACGUUUUAUUUUUCGCUUGUUCCCCUCCUCGACCAGGGUUUUGCAGCUGACCGGGAGUUCCAACCAGGUCUUUUGUGCUCUCUAUUGCAACUUUCUGCUCGAAUCUCGAGUCAAAAGGCUUUAAUGUGGAAAGCAACCCAAUCCACCCCAGGAUUUGAACUGGCGAUUUUUGGAUUGCAAGUCCAACCUUCGAACAGCGACUCAACUGGAGCAGGCUUUGUUUGAUGUGUUGACGACUCCUACACCUGGAACUUAACGGUCUAUGUCAUUAACGGUCUAUCAGCCACUAAGGCCGGGACCGAGUUUUACCUCCCCAUCCGAUAGAAGACUGGAGAAGAUGGGAGUCAAACCCAUGAUCAUCCACCUACUAAGCGAACAGCGUAACCAUUCAGCCACGCCUGAUCCACUGAAUGAUCCACUGAAAAUAACACGAUCAAUACGAAAUGAUCCGAAAAUUAGGCUGGAAAACAAUAAAUUUUCUAAACAAAAUAAUAAUAAAAAUGGAACGGUUUUUUUUUUCAUUUGAAAGUUCCUUCGAAGACCUUUGGAUAAUCAAGUUAUUUUUAUGUUACUAAAAGAAUUUUAAAAUAUAGUGAGUCAUCAUGUAUACAAUGCUUGAUUAUAUCUAAUGA
Culex pipiens pallens (northern house mosquito) is the source of this 2784-nucleotide long non-coding RNA. RefSeq lists it as uncharacterized. The transcript has 3 exons. Lineage: Eukaryota; Metazoa; Arthropoda; Insecta; Diptera; Culicidae. The record is from RefSeq and is a predicted model, not a curated record.